This 485-nucleotide ribosomal RNA is filed under the name Alcaligenes sp. J54C19. Its description in RNAcentral is "bacterial SSU rRNA". It matches the Rfam family "Bacterial small subunit ribosomal RNA", at positions 199 to 676 of the family's 1533-position model. Lineage: Bacteria; Pseudomonadati; Pseudomonadota; Betaproteobacteria; Burkholderiales; Alcaligenaceae. The record is from RNAcentral.
AUCGCAAGACCUCUCACUAUUGGAGCGGCCGAUAUCGGAUUAGCUAGUUGGUGAGGUAAAGGCUCACCAAGGCGACGAUCCGUAGCUGGUUUGAGAGGACGACCAGCCACACUGGGACUGAGACACGGCCCAGACUCCUACGGGAGGCAGCAGUGGGGAAUUUUGGACAAUGGGGGCAACCCUGAUCCAGCCAUCCCGCGUGUGCGAUGAAGGCCUUCGGGUUGUAAAGCACUUUUGGCAGGGAAGAAAAGGCUCUGGAUAAUACCUGGAGCCGCUGACGGUACCUGCAGAAUAAGCACCGGCUAACUACGUGCCAGCAGCCGCGGUAAUACGUAGGGUGCAAGCGUUAAUCGGAAUUACUGGGCGUAAAGCGUGCGCAGGCGGUUCGGAAAGAAAGAUGUGAAAUCCCAAUGGCUUAACCUUGGAACUGCAUUUUUAAUUACCCGGGCUAGAGUACGUCCGAGAGGGGGUAGAAUUCCACGUGU